GUCCCGUAAUACGAUGCUACGAUGCUAAUGUUCUCUGGGUGUCACUGAGUGGACUGAUACCCCAUGUCAUUGAUCCACAGUCCAUAGGUAAGGCUGUACAGUGAAAUAAGGAUGCCCCCAAUGCAACUCAGAGUCCCGUAAUACGAUGCUACGAUGCUAAUGUUCUCUGGGUGUCACUGAGUAGACUGAUACCCCAUGUCAUUGAUCCACCAUCCAUAGGUAAGGCUGUAGAGUGAAAUAAGGAUGCCCCCCAAUGCAACUCAGUGUCCCGUAAUACGAUGCUACGAUGCUAAUGUUCUCUGGGUGUCACUGAGUAGACUGAUACCCCAUGUCAUUGAUCCACCAUCCAUAGGUAAGGCUGUAGAGUGA
Molecule: long non-coding RNA, 369 nt
Organism: Oncorhynchus tshawytscha (Chinook salmon)
Lineage: Eukaryota; Metazoa; Chordata; Actinopteri; Salmoniformes; Salmonidae
Source: Ensembl